This 1008-nucleotide long non-coding RNA is filed under the name Gadus morhua (Atlantic cod). Its description in RNAcentral is "lncRNA (ENSGMOG00000031501.1)". The record is from RNAcentral. Lineage: Eukaryota; Metazoa; Chordata; Actinopteri; Gadiformes; Gadidae.
GUCAUUUAUAUCCUCCUGGUCGUCAGGCCAGCGUUUUUUGAAAGGUGUAGGUGCCACACACACACACACACACACACACACACACACACACACACACACACACACACGCACACACACACACAGUGCAGUAAAUUAAUAUGCUGGUACACAAAUUUACACUCGCUCAGACACAUUCACUCAACACACACAGCGUAAAACAUUAACAUACUGAUACAGACAUGUACAAGACACAAGUCCUACACUUGUCGGAGAGCCUUCCCAGAUGAGUUACAGCUGUAAUAGCUGCAAAAGAUGUGUAUAUAAAGUAAUAUUACAGCAAUAGGUGUAUAUAAGAAACAUAACUUCUUACCUUGGUCAAAACCUUCCGCUUCCGUGUUACCCGGAACACCGGUGCCAGGAGUCCAUUCACCAUCUGGUGUCCUUCUUGGGUGAAAUGACAGAAUCUUUUGCCACAUCUGCAGUAGAAAGAAAGGGAAAGAAAGACAGAAAGAAAGACAAAGAAAAAAGCUGGCAUUGGGCUCGGCGUGCUGAGGCCUUGAGAUCGAGGUGGCGGGUGCGUGGCUGGCAUUGGGUUGGCGUGCUGAGGCCUUGAGAUGGAGGUGGCGGGUGCGUGGCUGGCAUUGGGCUCGGCGUGCUGAGGCCUUGAGAUGGAGGUGGCGGGUGCGUGGCUGGCAUUGGGCUCGGCGUGCUGAGGCUUUGAGAUGGAGGUGGUGUCCUCAUGCCAGGGCAGGUCUGCAGGUGCUUUAUGCAUGAAGUUUUGCUGCCAGUAAUGGUUGAGCACACACAGUGGUAGUGUGGAGAUCUUGUGUUGGCACAGUUGUGUUGGCACCUAUAGAUUUUGUAGCCUUCCAAAAAGGAACAGAAAAGUAAAUUAGAAAAUAUUAACUGUUAGUAUUCCUUGUUCACUACAUCACAAGCUAAUUGAUAUGUUAUGAGUUUGAUAAAAGCAUAAAGAACAUAGAAAAUAUAAAACAUUAGUGACAUGCAUUAAACUUUCAAUUACCAUUG